This 479-nucleotide ribosomal RNA is filed under the name uncultured soil bacterium. RNAcentral's name for it is "bacterial SSU rRNA". It matches the Rfam family "Bacterial small subunit ribosomal RNA", at positions 26 to 506 of the family's 1533-position model. The record is from RNAcentral.
AGAUUGAACGCUGGCGGCAUGCUUUACACAUGCAAGUCGAACGGUAACAGGCCGCAAGGUGCUGACGAGUGGCGAACGGGUGAGUAAUGCAUCGGAACGUGCCCAGUCGUGGGGGAUAACGCAGCGAAAGCUGUGCUAAUACCGCAUACGAUCUAUGGAUGAAAGCGGGGGACCGAAAGGCCUCGCGCGAUUGGAGCGGCCGAUGUCAGAUUAGCUAGUUGGUGGGGUCAAGGCCCACCAAGGCGACGAUCUGUAGCUGGUCUGAGAGGACGACCAGCCACACUGGAACUGAGACACGGUCCAGACUCCUACGGGAGGCAGCAGUGGGGAAUUUUGGACAAUGGGCGCAAGCCUGAUCCAGCAAUGCCGCGUGCAGGAAGAAGGCCUUGGUUGUAAACUGUCUUUGUACGGAACGAACGGUCUGGUUAAUACCGUCGGCUAAGUGACGUACCGUAAGAAGUAAGCACCGCUAACUACGU